GUAGCGGGUCUGAGAGGAUGAUCCGCCACACUGGGACUGAGACACGGCCCAGACUCCUACGGGAGGCAGCAGUGGGGAAUUUUGGACAAUGGGGGCAACCCUGAUCCAGCCAUGCCGCGUGAGUGAAGAAGGCCUUCGGGUUGUAAAGCUCUUUCGGCCGGGAAGAAAUCGCAUCUUUUAAUAGAGGGUGUGGAUGACGGUACCGGACUAAGAAGCACCGGCUAACUACGUGCCAGCAGCCGCGGUAAU
Molecule: ribosomal RNA, 249 nt
Filed under: uncultured Thauera sp.
Lineage: Bacteria; Pseudomonadati; Pseudomonadota; Betaproteobacteria; Rhodocyclales; Zoogloeaceae
Description: partial 16S ribosomal RNA
Rfam family: Bacterial small subunit ribosomal RNA
Source: RNAcentral